UCCCCAUUGGACAAAGGAACCAAGCCUAGAACCAAAACUGUUCUUAGCUUGUUUGAUGAGGAAGAGGAUAAAAUGGAAGAUCAAAACACUAUCCAGGCUCCACAGAAAGAAGUAGGAAAGGGCCGCGAUCCUGAUGCCCGCCCCAAGAGCACAGGUGUCUUCCAGGAUGAAGAGCUGCUUUUCAGCCACAAGCUCCAAAAGGACAAUGACCCAGAUGUUGACCUUUUUGCUGGCACCAAAAAAACCAAGCUGUUAGAGCCAAGUGUUGGGAGCCUGUUUGGGGAUGAUGAAGAUGAUGAUCUUUUCAGCUCUGCCAAGUCCCAGCCUUUGGUACAAGAGAAAAAGAGAGUAGUGAAAAAAGACCACUCUGUUGACUCUUUCAAAAACCAGAAACAUCCUGAAUCCAUUCAAGGUAGUAAAGAAAAAGGCAUAUGGAAGCCGGAAACACCUCAGGUUAGAAAUCCUCUUUAAGGAUUUUCAGCUCUUGUUUGCAUCCCAGUACAGAGAAAUUCCAUUAUGCAGACCCACAGUUAUUUAGACUUGUCUGCAUUAAGGAGGAAACAGCAACCAGGGCUACCGCUUUGUCUUCACUGCACUCCCCACAAGUCAUCUCCCCUCUCCUCGCUCCACACGCCAGAGUUUCAUGAAUCUAUACUUUAAUAGUUAGUGUUUUUUGAUGCCAUGCCAGAUUUGACUCUGAAGUGGAGUUAAGGUAGGAUGAAGAAUCUUCUUCCCACUAAAGAAUUUAUUUCUCCCUCUGGAUUUCCUUGGAAUAGAAUUAAAAU
RNAcentral lists this small RNA (785 nucleotides) under Pan troglodytes (chimpanzee). RNAcentral describes it as "retained intron". The record is from RNAcentral. Lineage: Eukaryota; Metazoa; Chordata; Mammalia; Primates; Hominidae.